UACGUAGGGACCGAGCGUUGUCCGGAAUCAUUGGGCGUAAAGAGCGUGUAGGCGGCCACUUAAGUCCUGCGUGAAAUCUUGCGGCUCAACCGCAAGCGGUCGUGGGAAACUGGGUGGCUAGAGUGCGGGAGAGGAGAGUGGAAUUCCCGGUGUAGUGGUGAAAUGCGUAGAGAUCGGGAGGAACACCAGUGGCGAAGGCGGCUCGCUGGGCCGGUCCUGACACUGAGAGACGAAAGCUAGGGGAGCGAAUGGG
RNAcentral lists this ribosomal RNA (253 nucleotides) under uncultured bacterium. RNAcentral's name for it is "partial 16S ribosomal RNA". It matches the Rfam family "Bacterial small subunit ribosomal RNA", at positions 524 to 776 of the family's 1533-position model. The record is from RNAcentral.